CAUGCAAGUCGAACGGAAAGGCCCUUCGGGGUACUCGAGUGGCGAACGGGUGAGUAACACGUGGGUGAUCUGCCCUGCACUUUGGGAUAAGCCUGGGAAACUGGGUCUAAUACCGAAUAUGAUCAUGCACCUCCUGGUGUGUGGUGGAAAGCUUUUGCGGUGUGGGAUGGGCCCGCGGCCUAUCAGCUUGUUGGUGGGGUAAUGGCCUACCAAGGCGACGACGGGUAGCCGGCCUGAGAGGGUGACCGGCCACACUGGGACUGAGAUACGGCCCAGACUCCUACGGGAGGCAGCAGUGGGGAAUAUUGCACAAUGGGCGCAAGCCUGAUGCAGCGACGCCGCGUGAGGGAUGACGGCCUUCGGGUUGUAAACCUCUUUCAGCACAGACGAAGCGCAAGUGACGGUAUGUGCAGAAGAAGGACCGGCCAACUACGUGCCAGCAGCCGCGGUAAUACGUAGGGUCCGAGCGUUGUCCGGAAUUACUGGGCGUAAAGAGCUCGUAGGUGGUUUGUCGCGUUGUUCGUGAAAACUCACA
This 535-nucleotide ribosomal RNA is filed under the name uncultured Mycobacterium sp. Its description in RNAcentral is "bacterial SSU rRNA". It matches the Rfam family "Bacterial small subunit ribosomal RNA", at positions 54 to 606 of the family's 1533-position model. The record is from RNAcentral. Lineage: Bacteria; Bacillati; Actinomycetota; Actinomycetes; Mycobacteriales; Mycobacteriaceae.